AACCCAGCCAAUAACUAGCUAGCAGUAUGACGUCAUUACACACGCCUGCCAACCACAUAGCUAUUUCUAAUUGGCUUAUUUCUAACCAUAUAGGAAUCGGAUGAAACACGCAUUGCACCAAUGCGAGAGCGGACAUAGUAAACAGUCCCGUUGAUAUGUGGAGUCAUAUUCUCGCAACGAGCUACGAUCUCACUUUUUUCGGCAGGGUAUGUCACUAUCACAGUAUGCUGUGCAAGUCAAAGAAUUGUAAAUCCUAGUCCCAUUUUCCGCCCAGCGCUCUGUGGUUUUGCAGAUCUUUCCGAAUUCCUUCGAUUUGGAGCCACAACUUUGAAAGGACAUUGUCUUGACCCAUGAGAGGAGACGCUUGGCAGUUAUAUGGUGAUUCACGGCUGAUGCCUGCAGUGCUGAAAUGAUGACCCUGGAGCGCAAAGACGCGUAGAAGUAGGGAAGAACUUGCUGUACACGAAAAACAACAUUGGUAGGAAACUUAAAUCCCAUCGCAUCCAGGCGCUGCACAAUUGUUUGUAAGCGAUAGAGGGACAUCGCAGCCACUUCAAGAAGAUGUAAGUUCAUUGGAGUUAACUGAGCAACCUGAUGUGUCCAAGUCAGCUUGGGAUCGAACACUAUUCCCAGAGGUGAAGGCGGGCAUCAUCGUGGCAUCCGGGUGGUGUACAUCCUCCUCCCCACGUCACACUUACGCCACGACAUGCAAGAGAGACUGUGCCCAACCCAACGGCGACAACUGCCAAACGACAACAUGCGAAGGCGCUAAGCCUCUAUGUGGAGUGAUGUUCAAACCGUCGGGUGAAUACUGGGGUUCUGGGUGCGGCAAUAUAGAAAGUCCCGACUUGAAAGCUCCGUUUUGCUUUCUGAUGAACAACAAUGAAAUCAGCCAUGGGUGUAUAUGCGACACAACCAACUGCAACCAACUUUCCCGACUUCCGAACUGAUCUGUGUACGAUCUUUCCAGUAAAACUCCUGUACUGGUAUCAGCAGGAAGCCUUGCUGUAAAAAAGAUGGUCAACACUCAGUUGUUCAAAAUGUUUUCCGCCGCUGUCAGUGUGAUUUUGUUGGCCGGGGUGUAAACUUUAUUUACAUAUGUGGCAGUACGCUUCUAAGUAAACAUAUGCUUCUAAAUAAACAUACAUUCUGUAUACGCUUGUCCUGCUUAUAGAUACUCGUACCAAAAUGCAAAAGAUUCAAUAUUUUACUCUUAUCAGUCUUAAGUACUGAUUUUAAUGCGCUGUAGGCCACAACCGCUGCAUCCGCUGCAGAAAUA
Paramacrobiotus metropolitanus is the source of this 1279-nucleotide long non-coding RNA. RefSeq lists it as uncharacterized. The record is from RefSeq and is a predicted model, not a curated record. The transcript has 4 exons. NCBI's taxonomy places the organism in Eukaryota, Metazoa, Tardigrada, Eutardigrada, Parachela, Macrobiotidae.